ACACCGAUCCGUACAAUAAGGAAUGAAGUAGUAGUUUCAUAAUGCUGUUUCAUUGAUCUGUGUUUCAAUUCCAAGGAGAUUCCGAAAACCAUGAACAAGAUUAAGGCAGAAUUUAUGUACUACCGAAAAAGGAUAUAAGGGACUGGAGUUGUUUAGGAUGAACUGAAGAUAGCUUUCAGAGUGGAGAACAAAUUGGAAGCAAAACUUGAAGCAAAGAGACACAGGCAGCUGUUAAUCUGUCACUAAAAAGGUGGAGAGGUUAGCUCUGUGGUGCAGCAGUAAAGUGUUGCUCAAAAGCAGCUGGAAUCCCACGUGGUGACCACAGUUUGAAUCCCCAGCCCUUGUCAACCUGAAACAUCCCAGGCAUUUGCAUGAGGGGCCUGGAUCAGAUGGACUGGAGGACUGAAGGAAGGGAGCUAUGGCAUUACCAGACCCCAUGGAGAGUGCUCAUCUUCUCAUCUUUCUCUUUUGUCAUCCCCUCACUCUCGUGUACAUAUACUCUAACAUAAAUAAAGAAUAACAAUAAGAAUGUUUAAUGAUGGAAAAUGGUGGUACAAAACCAAGGUGCUUUUCUGAGAUGAAGAAGAGAGGUACAGACUCAUAAAUAUUGUGAAAGUUGGGGCCCGCAUGUGGCGUGAUAGCUAAAACAUUGUGUAAUAGAGUUGGACAUAAGGUUGAGGCUUCUAACUUCCUCGUAAAGUAUAUCAGCUAGUUUGUCUGUUCAACCUGAUGGGUUAUAUACUUGGAGAGCCUGGCAGAGAUGUGAAAUAAUUAUUGGGAACAGAGAAGCUAUGCUGUAGACAGGUUGGAGGAUUGCAGGUCAUUUUGAAGGAUCUGAGAAAUGGAAGACCAUAGAUCUUCAAACUCCAUGAGAUUUUUCUUUAGUAAAUUUGAGCCCAGACAGAAUUGACAUUCUUCUAAAAAUGCUUUCAUAUUGAAGAUUAGUCUGUUAAAAAUAGUGAGUAAUAAUCUAGUAUGAGACCACUCUUAUAAAAUUCUUUGUAAUCUACUGAAAUGGGAAAAUUAUAGUAAUUAACCCAGAGGCUUCAAUCAUAAAUAAAGUGACCUUUGAAAUCA
Tupaia belangeri chinensis (Chinese tree shrew) is the source of this 1077-nucleotide long non-coding RNA. RefSeq lists it as uncharacterized. Lineage: Eukaryota; Metazoa; Chordata; Mammalia; Scandentia; Tupaiidae. The transcript has 2 exons. The record is from RefSeq and is a predicted model, not a curated record.